This 1604-nucleotide long non-coding RNA is filed under the name Gallus gallus (chicken). Lineage: Eukaryota; Metazoa; Chordata; Aves; Galliformes; Phasianidae. The record is from RNAcentral.
AGGGAACAAAGCAAAGGGAGAGUCUUGGUGAGACAACGUGUAGGGAGAACUGACAGCCAGCCAAAAGCCCCAUCCAGCUACAAGAAGUUUGUAAGCAGAAUUAUUUUCUUAGCACGUCAUCAUGCUUCCUGCAGAAGCUUGGGCAGUCAGACAGGUUUUCCAUCCUGGUAGGCUAGAAAACAUGGGGUGAUUAUUUAGACAAGAUGGUGAAUAUUACUUGAUGAUUGCCUUGAAGAGAGGGCUGCUGACAGGGGAGAGGGGAGAAAAAGUCUGGAGGCAUGAAAAAGGGAACACUUGAGCCAGAUCAGUACUGGGUAUUUGAAGUCAGAUUCCUGUCUUUUUCCUAUGCCCGCUAAUUCUAAGUCCAAACUAGAGCAGGUUUGCCUACUUUUACAGCUGGAUCUGGGAGGUGUGUAAGUGCAUGUCUCAGGUUCAGCAGAAAGCAGGAAUUUUCCUGCGGUGAGCACAGUCUAACUGCAAGACUGGCUUUGUCCUGGCUCCAGCUCUCCAAGCCUUGAUUCUAUCUGGUGGUACUUCUACACUGAGGAGUAUGUAGAAUUAAAAAGUUAGAGAGUCGUUUUGAAGGUAAUUAGCACAAGAGAGGAGAGACCUGCUACUUGUUUCUGACAUACAGGUCCCACUAUCAGUUCUCUUAUGGAAAAAACAAAAACAAAAACAAAAAACCUCCAGAUGUUGCCUACAGACCCAAGCAGAUUUGUUGAAAUUAUUUCAGGUAGGCUGUGAAACCACACAGACAAAUAUCCAUCACUGGAAAACACUGGAAAACUGAUCUACAGACAAGCUUGGUUCUGACGGACUCUAUUGUGCCCCGCACCAGACUCCAGAACAUCUGUGUCAUGGGAUGACACCUCUCUGCUGGGGAAGUCUGUUCAAAUUUCUGUUCAGAUCCUCAGAUGCUGCUCCAAGAGAGAUGGCAGUGCAAAUGUAUGUUGUGAACUUGUUCCAAGUCGUACAGAUGUGAACAUUUCUCCAUGAAACCAGAGCUGGAUGCUGAAAUGUCCUGGGCAGACUGUGCAGUAACAUAACCUGUAACAUACAUACUAGAUGAAUUCCUGUAUACAAAACCCAGGCAGUGCAGAGCUGGGAGUAGCAGUUGAUUCACUGGAGGGCCAUGCUGCCAUUCAGAAAGACCUCGACAGGCUGGAGAAAUGAGCCCACAGGAACCUCCGUCAGCUCAACAAAAGGAAAUGCCAAAUCCUAAACCAGGGGAGGAACAAACCCAGGCACUACUACAGGAUGGGGAACCCCCAGCGGGAAGACAGCUGGAAGAGGAAAGACCUUAGGAUCUUGGUGGAUGCCAAGUUGAACAGGAGCCAGCAGUGUGCCUUUGUGGCACAUCCUCAGCAUUAGAGGAAUUGUUGCCAGCAGGUGGAGGGAGAUGAUCCUCUUUCCACUCAGCUCUGGUGAGAUGCAGCUGGGCUCCCAGUACAGGAGGCACAUGGACACUCUGAAAUGUGCCAAAUGAAGGAUCAAGAGCAGCAUGAAGAUUGGAUCAUUUAGCUUAUGAGAAGAGGCUGAGAGAGCUGGAGUUAUUUAGACUGGAGUAGGGAAGGCUGGAGUUAGUGGAGGACUUAUCAAUGGGC